Molecule: ribosomal RNA, 253 nt
Filed under: uncultured bacterium
Lineage: Bacteria
Description: partial 16S ribosomal RNA
Rfam family: Bacterial small subunit ribosomal RNA
Source: RNAcentral
GACGUAGGGCGCGAGCGUUGUCCGGAUUUAUUGGGCGUAAAGAGCUCGUAGGCGGCUUGUCGCGUCGUUCGUGAAAACCCGGGGCUCAACUCCGGGCUUGCGGGCGAUACGGGCAGGCUAGAGUUCGGUAGGGGAGACUGGAAUUCCUGGUGUAGCGGUGAAAUGCGCAGAUAUCAGGAGGAACACCGGUGGCGAAGGCGGGACUCUGGGCCGAUACUGACGCUGAGGAGCGAAAGCGUGGGGAGCAAACAGG